RNAcentral lists this ribosomal RNA (370 nucleotides) under uncultured Rhodovibrio sp. RNAcentral describes it as "bacterial SSU rRNA". It matches the Rfam family "Bacterial small subunit ribosomal RNA", at positions 508 to 878 of the family's 1533-position model. The record is from RNAcentral. Lineage: Bacteria; Pseudomonadati; Pseudomonadota; Alphaproteobacteria; Rhodospirillales; Rhodovibrionaceae.
UCAGCAGCCGCGGUAAUACGAAGGGGGCGAGCGUUAUUCGGAAUCACUGGGCGUAAAGCGUGCGUAGGCGGACCUAAAAGUUAGGAGUGAAAGCCCAGGGCUCAACCCUGGAAUUGCUCUUAAAACUAUAGGACUAGAAUUCGGGAGAGGAUAGCGGAAUUGUCAGUGUAGCAGUGAAAUGCGUAGAUAUUGACAGGAACACCAGUGGCGUAAGCGGCUAUCUGGACCGACAUUGACGCUGAGGCACGAAAGCGUGGGGAUCAAACAGGAUUAGAUACCCUGGUAGUCCACGCCGUAAACGAUGUGUGCUUGUCGCCGGGAGGUUCUCCUUUCGGUGACGCAGCUAACGCGAUAAGCACACCGCCUGGGA